Molecule: long non-coding RNA, 1164 nt
Filed under: Ficedula albicollis (Collared flycatcher)
Lineage: Eukaryota; Metazoa; Chordata; Aves; Passeriformes; Muscicapidae
Description: lncRNA (ENSFALG00000023729.1)
Source: RNAcentral
GCUGGGUGGGAAUGUGUCCACCAAAGCUUCUCUGUCACUGCCUCUUGGCUAAUGCUGCAAACAUAUCAGGAACCCAACAGUCUGCUUCCCCCCCCCCGCCCCUUUUGAUUCCUAUGCAGACAAUACUUGAAACCUUGUACACAGUUGUCCUUUCCAGCGCCUGGGGUUGGCAAAUUCUUCAUAAACAGGCUCAUUUAAAGAACAGCAGGAGGCUUCAGCUUUAGAAGAGGCUGGGCUGCCCCUUCCCAGCCGACAACUGCAAGCGUGUUCAGUGGUUUGCAUAUGAAUUUAGGCACAUCUGGACCCUCUGCUUCAACAUCCCGCUGGUACAGCCGCUGUCUCCCCUCGGUGCUGGCUGGCUGACUGUGUCCCAAGCACCCAACUAUGCAAAGAAUGCCUUAUAUCCGUUGUGUUUAAGUUACAUGGCAAUAUGUACAUCCAGCAAAGUUGGCAGUUAAGUCCAGAUUUUUGCUAGUGGCAGCAAGUCAAACUCUUUCUUCAACUCAAAUGGCUGUCUGGGUAUUUUUUACUUUUGUUUGUUUUUGUUUGUUUUGUAUCUGAUGGUGGCUCUUCUACAAAGGACUGUAAUUCUAGUGGCUUGAAUCUGUAAAAAUUGCCUUUGUUUGGUCCAAUAAACCUUUGAAUAGUUUAUUUGGUUUGUACUUGUUCUCCCUACCUCCAGCAGCUUGUAACUUCUUCCUCAAGAGAUUUGCAUUGAAAAUCUGGAUUUUAGAUUAGAGGUACAUUCUGCCCUUCUAUGACUUUUAUCCCAUAAAUUAUUACAUUCCCUUAAAUGAUCAGAGAGAAAGUCAGGGAUAUUCCCCGUUUUCUGCUGAAGCAACACAGAAUUGCAACAGGAUCCUGGUUUGGCUGCAGAGCAAUUAACAACAUUCCCAGUGCAGAGCUCUGCCCAGGAUUUCAGCUGCUGGGGACACGGGUGCUUAGCAGUUCCUAAACCCCAGAUCUCUAACAUACCUAUGGCUCACUGCCCCAGACCUCUAGCUAACUGUAAAAGUCUUGGACUGAAAUGUCUGAGAAGAGCCUAAGGGAGCUAAGUAUGCAAAUGUAAUUGCCAAUGAAGAAGAAUUAGGCUGCUUUGAAAAUCCUUAAUUAAUCUAUUUUGUUAGCAAUAAGUAAAAUCCUGUUUGACUUCCUGAAUCCAAG